This 63-nucleotide transfer RNA is filed under the name Ochthebius glaber. RNAcentral describes it as "tRNA-His". Lineage: Eukaryota; Metazoa; Arthropoda; Insecta; Coleoptera; Hydraenidae. The record is from RNAcentral.
AUUUAAAUAGUUUAAUAAAAAUAUUGAUUUGUGAUAUCAAAGAUGUAUGUAAUACUUUAGAUA